RNAcentral lists this ribosomal RNA (2922 nucleotides) under Klebsiella pneumoniae. RNAcentral's name for it is "bacterial LSU rRNA". It matches the Rfam family "Bacterial large subunit ribosomal RNA". The record is from RNAcentral. Lineage: Bacteria; Pseudomonadati; Pseudomonadota; Gammaproteobacteria; Enterobacterales; Enterobacteriaceae.
GGGUUGUGAGGUUAAGCGACUAAGCGUACACGGUGGAUGCCCUGGCAGUCAGAGGCGAUGAAGGACGUGCUAAUCUGCGAAAAGCGUCGGUAAGGUGAUAUGAACCGUUAUAACCGGCGAUGUCCGAAUGGGGAAACCCAGUGCAAUUCGUUGCACUAUCGUUAACUGAAUACAUAGGUUAACGAGGCGAACCGGGGGAACUGAAACAUCUAAGUACCCCGAGGAAAAGAAAUCAACCGAGAUUCCCCCAGUAGCGGCGAGCGAACGGGGAGCAGCCCAGAGUCUGAAUCAGCUUGUGUGUUAGUGGAACGGUCUGGAAAGUCCGACGGUACAGGGUGAUAGUCCCGUACACCAAAAUGCACAGGUUGUGAACUCGAAGAGUAGGGCGGGACACGUGGUAUCCUGUCUGAAUAUGGGGGGACCAUCCUCCAAGGCUAAAUACUCCUGACUGACCGAUAGUGAACCAGUACCGUGAGGGAAAGGCGAAAAGAACCCCGGCGAGGGGAGUGAAAAAGAACCUGAAACCGUGUACGUACAAGCAGUGGGAGCACCUUCGGGUGUGACUGCGUACCUUUUGUAUAAUGGGUCAGCGACUUAUAUUCUGUAGCAAGGUUAACCGUAUAGGGGAGCCGCAGGGAAACCGAGUCUUAACUGGGCGUUAAGUUGCAGGGUAUAGACCCGAAACCCGGUGAUCUAGCCAUGGGCAGGUUGAAGGUUGGGUAACACUAACUGGAGGACCGAACCGACUAAUGUUGAAAAAUUAGCGGAUGACUUGUGGCUGGGGGUGAAAGGCCAAUCAAACCGGGAGAUAGCUGGUUCUCCCCGAAAGCUAUUUAGGUAGCGCCUCGUGAAUUCAUCUUCGGGGUAGAGCACUGUUUCGGCUAGGGGGUCAUCCCGACUUACCAACCCGAUGCAAACUACGAAUACCGAAGAAUGUUAUCACGGGAGACACACGGCGGGUGCUAACGUCCGUCGUGAAGAGGGAAACAACCCAGACCGCCAGCUAAGGUCCCAAAGUCAUGGUUAAGUGGGAAACGAUGUGGGAAGGCACAGACAGCCAGGAUGUUGGCUUAGAAGCAGCCAUCAUUUAAAGAAAGCGUAAUAGCUCACUGGUCGAGUCGGCCUGCGCGGAAGAUGUAACGGGGCUAAACCAUGCACCGAAGCUGCGGCAGCGACACUAUGUGUUGUUGGGUAGGGGAGCGUUCUGUAAGCCUGCGAAGGUGACCUGUGAGGGUUGCUGGAGGUAUCAGAAGUGCGAAUGCUGACAUAAGUAACGAUAAAGCGGGUGAAAAGCCCGCUCGCCGGAAGACCAAGGGUUCCUGUCCAACGUUAAUCGGGGCAGGGUGAGUCGACCCCUAAGGCGAGGCCGAAAGGCGUAGUCGAUGGGAAACAGGUUAAUAUUCCUGUACUUGGUGUUACUGCGAAGGGGGGACGGAGAAGGCUAUGUUAGCCGGGCGACGGUUGUCCCGGUUUAAGCAUGUAGGCUGGUUGUCCAGGCAAAUCCGGAUAAUCAAGGCUGAGGUGUGAUGACGAGGCACUACGGUGCUGAAGUAACAAAUGCCCUGCUUCCAGGAAAAGCCUCUAAGCAUCAGGUAACAUUAAAUCGUACCCCAAACCGACACAGGUGGUCAGGUAGAGAAUACCAAGGCGCUUGAGAGAACUCGGGUGAAGGAACUAGGCAAAAUGGUGCCGUAACUUCGGGAGAAGGCACGCUGGUGUGUAGGUGAAGUCCCUGCGGAUGGAGCUGAGACCAGUCGAAGAUACCAGCUGGCUGCAACUGUUUAUUAAAAACACAGCACUGUGCAAACACGAAAGUGGACGUAUACGGUGUGACGCCUGCCCGGUGCCGGAAGGUUAAUUGAUGGGGUUAUCCGUAAGGAGAAGCUCUUGAUCGAAGCCCCGGUAAACGGCGGCCGUAACUAUAACGGUCCUAAGGUAGCGAAAUUCCUUGUCGGGUAAGUUCCGACCUGCACGAAUGGCGUAAUGAUGGCCAGGCUGUCUCCACCCGAGACUCAGUGAAAUUGAACUCGCUGUGAAGAUGCAGUGUACCCGCGGCAAGACGGAAAGACCCCGUGAACCUUUACUAUAGCUUGACACUGAACAUUGAGCCUUGAUGUGUAGGAUAGGUGGGAGGCUUUGAAGCGUGGACGCCAGUCUGCGUGGAGCCAACCUUGAAAUACCACCCUUUAAUGUUUGAUGUUCUAACGUUGGCCCCUUAUCGGGGUUGCGGACAGUGUCUGGUGGGUAGUUUGACUGGGGCGGUCUCCUCCCAAAGCGUAACGGAGGAGCACGAAGGUUAGCUAAUCCUGGUCGGACAUCAGGAGGUUAGUGCAAUGGCAUAAGCUAGCUUGACUGCGAGCGUGACGGCGCGAGCAGGUGCGAAAGCAGGUCAUAGUGAUCCGGUGGUUCUGAAUGGAAGGGCCAUCGCUCAACGGAUAAAAGGUACUCCGGGGAUAACAGGCUGAUACCGCCCAAGAGUUCAUAUCGACGGCGGUGUUUGGCACCUCGAUGUCGGCUCAUCACAUCCUGGGGCUGAAGUAGGUCCCAAGGGUAUGGCUGUUCGCCAUUUAAAGUGGUACGCGAGCUGGGUUUAGAACGUCGUGAGACAGUUCGGUCCCUAUCUGCCGUGGGCGCUGGAGAAUUGAGGGGGGCUGCUCCUAGUACGAGAGGACCGGAGUGGACGCAUCACUGGUGUUCGGGUUGUCAUGCCAAUGGCACUGCCCGGUAGCUAAAUGCGGAAGAGAUAAGUGCUGAAAGCAUCUAAGCACGAAACUUGCCCCGAGAUGAGUUCUCCCUGAGACUUUAAGUCUCCUGAAGGAACGUUGAAGACGACGACGUUGAUAGGCCGGGUGUGUAAGCGCAGCGAUGCGUUGAGCUAACCGGUACUAAUGAACCGUGAGGCUUAACCUUACAACGCCGAAG